CACCGCGGUUAGACGGGAGGCUCAAACUGAUACCCCGCGGCGUAAAGCGUGAUUAAGGAAAACACACACUAAAGCCGAACACCUCCUCAGCUGUUAUACGCUUAGAGAGAUAUGAAGCCCCGUAACGAAAGUAGCUUUAACCAGAUAUCCUGAAUUCACGAAAAUUAAGAUA
This 172-nucleotide ribosomal RNA is filed under the name Ophichthus sp. MParis761. Its description in RNAcentral is "partial small subunit ribosomal RNA". The record is from RNAcentral. Lineage: Eukaryota; Metazoa; Chordata; Actinopteri; Anguilliformes; Ophichthidae.